GACGAACGCUGGCGGCGUGCUUAACACAUGCAAGUCGAACGAGAUUCUAGCGAGUCAAUCAAUUCGUUGAAAGACAUGCUAGAUGAAAGUGGCGAACGGGUGAGUAACACGUGGGUAACCUGCCCAUAAAAGGGGGAUAACAUCCGGAAACGGGUGCUAAUACCGCAUAGGUUUCUUGGUCGCAUGAUUGAGAAAGGAAGACGGCCUUUGUGCUGUCGCUUAUGGAUGGACCCGNGGCGUAUUAGCUAGUUGGUGGGGUANAAGCCUACCAAGGCGACGAUCAGUAGCC
RNAcentral lists this ribosomal RNA (289 nucleotides) under uncultured bacterium. RNAcentral's name for it is "partial 16S ribosomal RNA". It matches the Rfam family "Bacterial small subunit ribosomal RNA", at positions 28 to 288 of the family's 1533-position model. The record is from RNAcentral.